RNAcentral lists this transfer RNA (73 nucleotides) under Stegodyphus mimosarum. It matches the Rfam family "tRNA". Rfam says of the family: Transfer RNA (tRNA) molecules are approximately 80 nucleotides in length. Their secondary structure includes four short double-helical elements and three loops (D, anti-codon, and T loops). Lineage: Eukaryota; Metazoa; Arthropoda; Arachnida; Araneae; Eresidae. The record is from Rfam by way of RNAcentral.
GCCUUCGUGGUGUAGUGGUUAGCACGCUCGACGCGUAACCGAGAGGUCCGUGGUUCGAGUCCCGGCGAGGGCC